RNAcentral lists this ribosomal RNA (418 nucleotides) under Helicoverpa zea (corn earworm). RNAcentral's name for it is "partial 16S ribosomal RNA". The record is from RNAcentral. Lineage: Eukaryota; Metazoa; Arthropoda; Insecta; Lepidoptera; Noctuidae.
GGGCUGCAGUAUUUUGACUGUACAAAGGUAGCAUAAUCAUUAGUCAUUUAAUUGAUGACUUGUAUGAAAGAUUGGAUGAAAUAUAAACUGUCUCUUAAUUAUGAUAUAAAAUUUAAUUUUUUAGUUAAAAAGCUAAAAUUNNUUAAAAAGACGAGAAGACCCUAUAGAGUUUUAUAAAUUAUAAUUAUUAAGAUUAUUUAUAAAAUUAAUAAUUAAAAUAAUUUAAUUUAAUUUGUUGGGGUGACAAAAAAAUAAAAAUAACUUUUUUUUUAUUAGACAUAAAUAAGUGAAUAAUUGAUCCAAUAUUAUUGAUUAUAAGAAAAAAUUACCUUAGGGAUAACAGCGUAAUUUUUUUUUUUAGUUCAUAUAAAAAAAAGAGUUUGCGACCUCGAUGUUGGAUUAAGAUAAAAUUUAAAUG